AAAACAUUUUGGUUAGCAAUGUGGACAGAUCUUGCAUUGCACUAAUUUUCCAAAAAACAUAAAACAAUUAAUCUUAAUUUACUGCAAGGAACAUGAGCUGCAGACAUCAGUUUAUUAAAUAUCUGGUACAUGAGCUCUUUUUACCCUAUAAUUUCAUCAAUUAUAAAUUUUUCUUGGCUGAAAUUUUCAUUUCCUAUUGAUAUUCCUAGAAAAUAGAAUUACUAACUACCACACAAGAAAUUUAACCUAAUGACGG
This 256-nucleotide unclassified non-coding RNA is filed under the name Hevea brasiliensis (rubber tree). The record is from RNAcentral. Lineage: Eukaryota; Viridiplantae; Streptophyta; Magnoliopsida; Malpighiales; Euphorbiaceae.